UUUUAGCUAUUCACCAAACUAAUGGCCUAUACUCACACAAAUCACUAAGAUCAAUGAACAUUAAAACGAUUACUACUCAACAUAGAUAUCCUCAUUCCCUGUUGUGACAUGAUGUCACAACAAGAGCUUUUCCGGUUGGGUCAUAUAUUAGUGCAAGGUCAAAAUAAAACACAAACCAUUUUAUACCUCGCCAUACAUUGCUUUAUUUUUUAGGAUAUUUCUUUUUGUCAGGUUUUACCAAUUUAUAAAAUGAUCUUGAAAAUACCAUAACCGAAUUUUUUCAAACUCUUAAAUUCACAUUAAAAAUAAAACCCAAGAUGUAAUUUAAAUCUCAAAAACUCCAUUCUCUAAGUGAAAUGCAGUUGAAGUCAUAAUUCAAUCAUCAAUAAGUACAUUAGGGUCAGAGAAGAAGCGUAUAUAGGAUAUACUCACACAAAUCACCAAACUAACGGCCUAUACUCGCACAAAUCACUAAGAUCAAUGAACAUUGCAACGAUUACUACUCAACAUAGAUAUCCUCAUUCCCUGUUGUGACAUGAUGUCACAACAAGAGCUUUUCCGGUUGGGUCAUAUAUUAGUGCAAGGUCAAAAUAAAACACAAACCAUUUUAUACCUCGCCAUACAUUGCUUUAUUUUUUAGGAUAUUUCUUUUUGUCAGGUUUUACC
This 666-nucleotide long non-coding RNA is filed under the name Medicago truncatula (barrel medic). Its description in RNAcentral is "long non-coding RNA (MTRU_LNC002498)". Lineage: Eukaryota; Viridiplantae; Streptophyta; Magnoliopsida; Fabales; Fabaceae. The record is from RNAcentral.